This 253-nucleotide ribosomal RNA is filed under the name uncultured bacterium. Its description in RNAcentral is "partial 16S ribosomal RNA". It matches the Rfam family "Bacterial small subunit ribosomal RNA", at positions 524 to 776 of the family's 1533-position model. The record is from RNAcentral.
UACGAAGGGUGCAAACGUUGCUCGGAAUUAUUGGGCGUAAAGCGCACGUAGGCGGCUUUGCAAGUCCCAUGUGAAAUCCCACGGCUCAACCGUGGAAGUGCAUGGGAAACUGCAGAGCUUGAGUACUUAAGAGGAUCGCGGAAUUCCCGGUGUAGAGGUGAAAUUCGUAGAUAUCGGGAGGAACACCGGUGGCGAAGGCGGCUCACUGGCUCGUUUCUGACGCUCAGGCGCGAUAGCGUGGGGAUCAAACAGG